UCUACACUUCUUUCUGCAAGCAUAACAUCCUGGGACAUCUUCUGGGGGAGAAGCGAGGGACAGCAUAAUCUAAUUAUGGAAAUAGGGCUGGUGAAUUCCUAAUUUAAUUGUGUUUUAUUUAUGCCGCAGGGAUGUUUGCAGAUAAGUAAUAGCUAAGUGUUCACACAGAAUUAUGAGCACAUAAACGUUUUAUAGUCAGUGCAAUAUAGCUAGUAGUGGCAAUUCAAAUCUGGGAUCAUGCUGGACAAGUAGUUCAUUUGGAGAAGAUAUACUACAUACAAAGGCAGCUCUGAAAGUAGUGCUUUCUAUUUUGUUAUGUUAUCUCAUGACAUCAGAGGUGGAUGUUGGUGGUAUGGCAGUAGAGGUUUGUAGCAGAAAUGCUAAAUGACAGCUUGAAACUGACUGAGCACCUGGUGGGAAGGCAGGGCCAACCCAGGGGAGCUCAGCUGUAUGCAAUUUGUUCAAGUGACCAGAAGGGGUGGAACCAGGAUCCUCCCCUUCCCAUACCACAUUUAAGGGUUGGCAGUGGAAGCAAAGUUACCUUGUUGGAGGUUCUUGUCUUUGUGAGGCCUUGUGAAGUCAUCAAAUGAUUUGGGACCAUUUGGCUCCUACUCCACCUGGCCUACUGACAUCUGUUGGGAUCACGUGUUUGUUGUGGGACUGCUACUGAGAUGGUGACAACACCUGGAAGAAAAAGAAGGAAAGGAGAAAGCUACCUCUUCAAAAAGCAGAAUAAUCUCAUUGAUUAUCACUUUGAUGCAUUAUUUAUCAUAUAAGUGUAUACAGGUGGCCACUUUACCAGAUGGACUGCCAUUGCACAUGUGAAAUAGAAGUUGCUGAGUGAUUGCCUUUUUCCCUUCCUUGCUGUCUAGAAACUUACUUUCUUUAGCUGCCACAUGCACCAAUGGCAACUGGGGAAGCAAACACAGAAAAGUGAAACUGGGGCCCUUGGGGACACCUGAAGCAUGUCUGUGAGCACAGACCAAGUCUCCAGUGCUCUCAUCACCUGACAUUUUUAAUGGGCAAUGCUUUUCCACAAGCAGGCUGCCUGGACAGGAGGGAUGCUGUGCCGCAUGACACUUUGGUAGGAUCUCUUCCCUACCCAUCCCACAUAGUUGCAGAGCUCUCACUAUACCACAAAGUAUUGUAUGUAUGAAAUGUGGAAAGAAUGCCUUUUAGAAAAGCAUGUAGCUCAAAGCAUGCAGACUUUACCAUCACAAUUGAUACCUGGAGUUUCAAAGAGGAAGGGCAGUGUUUUCAAAGAUGUGUUUUUUGAGGUUUGCUGCCUGGCCUCUGGCAUUUUGAGGCUGAUCCCAAGGACUGCACCUUACUGGCUGAGUGAGGCAUAUGGUCCCACAGCAGAGCGUGGCAUGUACAUGGUUAAAUAAACAGGUGUUUUGAGGCCUUGAAUUUGGGGCAGAGAUAUGAUAAGAACCUGCGUGGACUUAAGUCCUACUUUGGUCUCUUUGUAAGUCAUGGACUUUAUCAGGAAUGGUACGAUGUUAGUGCCUGAAGUCAGGAGAAGAAUGCAGAUGUGCUUUGAUAGGGCCUACAGUGGGAAAUAAGAAGCCCAACUGCAUGCAAAAAAAAAAAAAAGACCCCAUUGCAUGAGGAAAUCUCCACUUUGAAGGGUUUGCAUUUGAAAACUUAUAUUUUCUUCAGUGAACUCCCUGGAAGUGUGAAGGUAGUGAAAAUCCAUGGCUUAUGGCUUUUUCUACUGUCACCUAAAAGUUAGAGGAAGCAAAUUCCAUGUUAAAGCUUUAAGAUCUGUGCAAGCAAUACAAAAACAAAGUAGGUUAGUCUGCUCUGAAACAGCAUGCGACUUGUGGUGGUCUCCUGAGAAACACUUCCUAUUUCUGUUUGGAGAAUGUGUGGCUACACAGUGAUUGGGGGCCCAUCAGAAAAAGAUGGAGGGGAAAAAGGGGAAAUGAGUUCCUUCAAUUUCUUUAUAAGCUUCAGGAUUGUUCCUCAGUUUUCUGACAGAAGCCUGUUUUGAAUGUACAUCUGUGAGGGAUUUGUUAUAUAGAAUAGACAGGAGAUGCACUGUGUUUAUUUACCCAGAGAGAUGAAAUUCUCAAUUCCCGGUUGCGGGAUGUCCUCAGGCAUGCAGAAGAGGAGAGGGGGGGGAAAAAAGAGGGAGAGGCAAUUUCAUAAGCCAGGUGGUUUAACUCUGCUCUGAAAAGCUGGAUCCCAUCCUCCAUUAGUUCCUAAGUAAUACCAGACGAGUCGUGGAAUUAAACUGGAAGAAAAAUAGGAGUUUCUGAUUUCCCAGGUGCUCCUUUAAUACACUGAGGCUGGAUUUACAGAAGGGAUGAGUGUUCACAAAUGAAAUGUAAAUAUAAGAAGCUGUAUGGAGCAAGAAUCUCUGGAGGAAAAGAGAAGUGACAAGGCUCAAAUUUAUGAUUCCUUUUGACUGUGACACGUCUGGGCAUCAAACCCCAGUCUGCGGAGUGAGAUCUGAUUUCACUGGGGAUGACUGUGCUCACAGCAGUAUUUGUGAUGCGCUCAGACACUGCUGUAAUGACUGCAUUAAGAGUCCCUGAAGAAAUAAGUCAUCCUUUUUUUCAGUCUGACAACUUUACCAUAAAUAAAACACAAUUUAGAGUGGGGCUCUGCUGGACUGGGGUGGGUGAGUGUGGAACAAGCCUGAGUAUGUCUGUGCUGUACUCUGAGUGUGCCCAAAGACAAGACUGUGGUACCAAGCAGACAUGAUUAUGCCACUUUUGGGGAUGUUUAUGUAUGUUGGGGUGUGAUACUUCACCAAAUGAAUAAAUCCUUCCAGAACUGGUGUGGUGCAGAGACAUCUAAGCUGGCUCUGGAUACACAUAUAAAGGAUCUAGGUCUGGUGCUGUGUAUGAUCUCUCUUUUUCCAGAUAAAGGUAAGGUGCUCAUGGCACAGUAGUAAGAUAGCUA
Long non-coding RNA from Gallus gallus (chicken), 2913 nucleotides. The record is from Ensembl. Lineage: Eukaryota; Metazoa; Chordata; Aves; Galliformes; Phasianidae.